RNAcentral lists this long non-coding RNA (2685 nucleotides) under Homalodisca vitripennis (glassy-winged sharpshooter). RNAcentral's name for it is "uncharacterized LOC124358068". Lineage: Eukaryota; Metazoa; Arthropoda; Insecta; Hemiptera; Cicadellidae. The record is from RNAcentral.
GUAAUGCUCUAGAUAAAAGUCCCUUAUCUCUGCAGGUGCACUGCAACUGCUUGCUUCGACUUGUCGACUAUUUCCGUACAGACUUGCAGAUUGUUCUGCUGCAUUGUGGGUAGUUCCUCAGACUCCAAAGCAUUUGUAGUCGCAACUCUGAGGAGCUUACAUCUAAUUGAUCUUUCAGCCGCUUCUCUUAAAAAAGCUGAUGUCGAGAAAAGAUGCCGAGAUGAUGUCGAGAAACUAUGGAUUUGUUCAAGUUUAGAAUUUAGGAGAUCAACCCUAGAGUGAUACGAAAUUUAAGCCAUAACAUGAAAUUCACGAGUGGCGACAUGGGUUUAUAUAGGCAGCAUGAAUGCCAAAGUAUAUUUUUGAAGCUUUCAGGGUUUUGAGCCCAUUUACUUUGGGUGGUCUAACACUGACACGCCCAAAGACUGCAGCAUAACAAUAUGGUGUUGCAUAACAAUAACCAUUUAAAAUAAUUUUAUUAACUCUCUUUCUUUAUACAAAUUUUGUAAUAGAUUUAAAAGUAACUUCAUGUAGAUCUAUUGAUUAGAAAUUUGAACAAAUUGUAACAUAAAUUGUAAUUUUGGAAUGUCAUACUGAUCUGAUACAAUUAUAUCUAGGAAUAAAAUGGUUGGUUAAUUGUAAACAAUUCAUAUUUUACUAGCAAAAUGAGUGUAAUUAGAGAUUGUGUUGUGAAAUAAUCUCAGUACUCAAAAAUGAUGUUUGAGAUCAUUUUACAUCGUUAACGAAGUAGAUGUCACAUGGGAAUGUCAUACUGAUCCGAUUGAUUUGUAACUAGGAAAUACAAUGGUUGGUUAAUUGUAAACAAUUCAUAUUUUACUAGCAAAAAGAGUGUAAUUAGAGAUUGUGUUAUGAAAUAAUCUCAAUACUCAAAAAUGAUGUUUUAGAUCAUUGGACAUCACUCAAUGAAGUAGAUGUCACAUGGGAAUGUCAUACUGAUCCGAUUGAUUUGUAACUAGGAAAUACAAUGGUUGGUUAAUUGCAAACAAUUCAUUUUUACUAGCAAAAUGAGUGUAAUUAGAGAUUGUGUUAUGAAAUAAUCUCAGUACUCAAAAAUUGUUUUAGAUCAUUGGACAUCACUCAAUGAAGUAGAUGUCACAUGGGAAUGUCAUACUGAUCUGAUUGAUUUGUAACUAGGAAAUAAAUCGGUUGGUUAAUUGUAAACAAUUCAUUUUUAUUAUCAAAAUGAGUGUAAUUAGAGAUUGUGUUAUGAAAUAAUCUCAGUACUCAAAAAUGAUGUUUUAGAUCAUUGGACAUCACUCAAUGAAGUAGAUGUCACAUGGGAAUGUCAUACUGAUCUGAUUGAUUUGUUACUAGGAAAUAAAACGGUUGGUUAAUUGUAAACAAUUCAUUUUUACUAGCAAAAUGAGUGUAAUUAGAGAUUGUGUUAUGAAAUAAUCUCAGUACUCAAAAAUUGUUUUAGAUCAUUAUACAUCACUCAAUGAAGUAGAUGUCACAUGGGAAUGUCAUACUGAUCUGAUUGAUUUGUUACUAGGAAAUAAAACGGUUGGUUAAUUGUAAACAAUUCAUUUUUACUAGCAAAAUGAGUGUAAUUAGAGAUUGUGUUGUGAAAUAAUCUCAGUACUCAAAAAUGAUUUUAGAUCAUUGGACAUCACUCAAUGAAGUAGAUGUCACAUGGGAAUGUCAUACUGAUCUGAUUGAUUUGUAACUAGGAAAUAAAUCGGUUGGUUAAUUGUAAACAAUUCAUUUUUAUUAUCAAAAUGAGUGUAAUUAGAGAUUGUGUUAUGAAAUAAUCUCAGUACUCAAAAAUUGUUUUAGAUCAUUGGACAUCACUCAAUGAAGUAGAUGUCACAUGGGAAUGUCAUACUGAUCUGAUUGAUUUGUUACUAGGAAAUAAAACGGUUGGUUAAUUGUAAACAAUUCAUUUUUACUAGCAAAAUGAGUGUAAUUAGAGAUUGUGUUAUGAAAUAAUCUCAGUACUCAAAAAUUGAUGUUUUAGAUCAUUGGACAUCACUCAAUGAAGUAGAUGUCACAUGGGAAUGUCAUACUGAUCCGAUUGAUUUGUAACUAGGAAAUACAAUGGUUGGUUAAUUGUAAACAAUUCAUUUUUACUAGCAAAAUGAGUGUAAUUAGAGAUUGUGUUAUGAAAUAAUCUCAAUACUCAAAAAUGAUGUUUUAGAUCAUUGGACAUCACUCAAUGAAGUAGAUGUCACAUGGGAAUGUCAUACUGAUCUGAUUGAUUUGUAACUAGGAAAUACAAUGGUUGGUUAAUUGUAAACAAUUCAUUUUUACUAGCAAAAUGAGUGUAAUUAGAGAUUGUGUUGUGAAAUAAUCUCAGUACUCAAAAAUUGUUUUAGAUCAUUGGACAUCACUCAAUGAAGUAGAUGUCACAUGGGAAUGUCAUACUGAUCUGAUUGAUUUGUUACUAGGAAAUAAAACGGUUGGUUAAUUGUAAACAAUUCAUUUUUACUAGCAAAAUGAGUGUAAUUAGAGAUUGUGUUGUGAAAUAAUCUCAGUACUCAAAAAUUGUUUUAGAUCAUUGGACAUCACUCAAUGAAGUAGAUGUCACAUGGGAAUGUCAUACUGAUCUGAUUGAUUUGUUACUAGGAAAUAAAACGGUUGGUUAAUUGUAAACAAUUCAUUUUUACUAGCAAAAUGAGUGUAAUUAGAGAUUGUGUUGUGAAAUAAUCUCAGUACUCAAAAAUU